RNAcentral lists this ribosomal RNA (392 nucleotides) under uncultured bacterium. RNAcentral's name for it is "partial 16S ribosomal RNA". It matches the Rfam family "Bacterial small subunit ribosomal RNA", at positions 523 to 918 of the family's 1533-position model. The record is from RNAcentral.
AUACGGAGGAUCCGAGCGUUAUCCGGAUUUAUUGGGUUUAAAGGGUGCGCAGGCGGGAGAUUAAGUCAGCGGUUAAAUCGUGGGGCUCAACCCCAUUCUGCCGUUGAUACUGGGUGGCUUGAUUGCGGUCGAGGUUGGCGGAAUUCGUUGUGUAGCGGUGAAAUGCAUAGAUAUGACGAAGAACACCGAUUGCGUAGGCAGCUGACCAGAUCGCAAAUGACGCUCAUGCACGAAAGUGCGGGGAUCGAACAGGAUUAGAUACCCUGGUAGUCCGCACAGUAAACGAUGAAUACUUGUUUUCGGCGAUAUAAUGUCGGAGGCAAAGCGAAAGCGAUAAGUAUUCCACCUGGGGAGUACGCCGGCAACGGUGAAACUUAAAGGAAUUGGCGGGG